Lutra lutra (Eurasian river otter) is the source of this 4409-nucleotide long non-coding RNA. RefSeq lists it as uncharacterized. NCBI's taxonomy places the organism in Eukaryota, Metazoa, Chordata, Mammalia, Carnivora, Mustelidae. The transcript is spliced from 3 exons. The record is from RefSeq and is a predicted model, not a curated record.
CAUAAAUGAUUUGUAGAUAUUUCCUCCUGUUCCAUGGAUUGCAUUUCACUCUGUUGAUUGUGCCUUUGAUGCACAAACAUUUUUAAGCUUGAUGUAGUCCCAUUUGUCUAUUUUUGCUUUUUGUGGCCUGUGCUUUUAGUGUUGUGUCCAAAAAGUCAUUGCUAAGUUUUCCCCCUGUGUUUUCUUCUAGGAGUUCUAGAGUUUUAGGUCUUAUAUUUAAGUCUUUAUUCCUUUUUGAGUUGUUUUUUUUAUAUUGUAUAAGAUAAGGGUCCAACUUCAUUCUUAUGCUUGUAGAUAUCCAGCACCAACUCUAACACCAUUUGUGAAGAGACUGUUCCUUUCCCAUUAAGUGGUAUUGGCGACCUUGUCAAAGAUCAUCAAAUAUUAUUAUUUUUUAUAGAUAGAAAAAUGGUGAAGUUACAUUCUUUUUAAGCUAGACUUGGGGGCAUAGCAUGAGUUUUGAAUGAGAUAGAGAGAAGUAAAGUAAAAAUACAAAAUGUGAAUAAAAUCUUGAGAAUAUUGGAUGGGGACCUAGUAACACCUUUCUUAAGAUGUCAUCAGUGCCUGGGGGUAGCUGUUGAUGACAAGCUCCUUCACCACUCGAGGGAUUACUGAGGGCCUACCGUGGCUGCACUAACCAGGCCCGGGGAAUCCAGGUGUGUGUUAGAGACAAGUCCCUGCUGUGUGUAUUUCUGCGAGGGAUCUCAUUACCUUUUAGCAGCAUCAACAAAACGAUGUAUGCCUGCCCUCGCUCUGCUAGGAGUUUGGAGAGGCAUAAGCAACUGUGAGAUGUUUUCCAUGCCCUCCCUCAAGGGCCCAUGUGAACUUUACUCUUACCAGGACCCCCAGGGACCCUCUGUGUCCACUGCUCUUUGCUGUGGGCUAAUACCUGGUGUGAUGGACACGUCAUCUCAUGAAAGGAAGGAGAACUUAAAGACUGGGGUUAUGUCCAGGUGUCUGCAGGAGUCUGUGGUCCAUCUGGAGCUGCUCUCUGGGGAGCUGUUUCUUAGUACCUACCCAGGGGCAUUCCACUUUGGUGGAAACCAAAGGUUUUGUCAUUUCAGUAACCUAAGUGCUCCACUCCAGAAAUACAGAAAAUAGCGUCAAAAGAGAUACUGGUUUUGCAAGCCACUGAGACAUUCAAUAGCACCUUCUUUCGGGUGGAACAAUGGCAAUUGUGUAGGAGUUAAGGUAAUGCUUUGUUCUGCAGAUUCUUGGUUAGGUGUUUUAUUUCUUCCCAAUGGAGGGGGUAUGCACGUGUGACUGGAGUAUCUUUUGCAUCGACUCCUCUCAGCACAACCUCUCCCAGCUCUGUUUGAAGGGUUUUUAAAUAUCCUUGAAGAGGCAUAUCAAAUUUAUAUAAGGAACCCGGUUUGUAAUAUUCCUUGUCAUAAACAAAUUAUAUAUGCUUAAAUGAAUUGUCCCUUGACCUGCAUAUAGUUCUCACUCCAUAACGUGGGGCUAAUCACUUUUUGGAAUAAAGUUUUAUUACAUUAAUUAAUUAAUUAAUUAAUUAAUUAUUACUUUUGUAAUAUUUUGGAUUUACAGAAAAGUUGUAGGGUUCCUAGAUACCCCUUACCCAUGUUUAAUUUCCCCUGAUGUUAACAUCUUAUAUUAUCAUGGUACUUUUGUCAAAACUAAGAAACCAAAGCAAAACAAACAAAAACAAAACAAAAAACCAAAACCCAAACUCAGGAAACCAACAUUGGUACAUUACCAUUAACUAAGCUCUAGACUUUAUUUGGAUUUCACCAGUUUUUCUCCACCAAUGUCCUUUGUCUUUUCUACAGUUCAAUUUAGGAUACCACUGUGCAUUCAGUUGUCAUGUCUCUAGUCUCCUCUGGUCUGUGACAAUUUCUCAGUCUGUCUUUGUUUUUCAUGACCUUGACAAUUUUGAGGAGAAUUGGGCAUGUGUUUUGUAGAAUGUUGGGUUCAGUAAUUUUUAGUGCAUUAUUUUGUGGUCUUCCUAGAACCUAGAGUUAAGACACUUCUUCAGUUGUUGUCAAAGGUAGUUUUCUGGGUUGGAUAGACUUGAACGAACCCUUGCAGUUCAUAAACUAAUUAAUUAUUGUAGUUAAGAAUCCAGUGUCCAGGAGGGGACAACUCCAAUUUUGAAUUGCCCUUCGAGUUUAGCCUUGGUCAGGUUUAUAUGCCUUUGGUUUUGUAACAUGGUUACUGUGUUAGUCAGGGUCUUGGAAGGAAAUCUAAGGCAUAUUUACCUGGGGUUUUGAGGAGGACUUAAUGAAGGGAUCAUAUACCCAGGUGGGACAGUAUUUUAGCUUGAGCAGCUAGAAAAAAAAUACUAUAGCGUGGUGGCUUAAACAAUAGACAUUUAUUUCUCACUGUUCUGGGGGCUGGAAAAUCCAAGAUCAAGGUGUCAGCCAACUGGUUCUUGAUGAGUUGAUGAACUGCCUUCUUUCUUUGUCCCCAUAUGGAGAGAGAUAACUCUAGUGUCUCUUCUUCAACGGGCACUCAUCCCACCAAGGGGACCCCACCCUUGUGACCUCAUCUACACCUAUAAUCCUCUCAAGUGCCCACCUCCGAACUCCAUCACAUGUUGUUGUCUCUCAUUGGCCAAACCCAACCAGAAACUAAGGACAAGGGACCCUGGAUACUGCAGUCCUUGGGAGACAGCCCUGCAGACCGCAGAGAAGGGUAGAAAAUGGAGAAGGGGCUGCCAGAGCAAACGAUCACAAACGCGAUGGCUUAAAACCACAGAAGUUAUUCUCUCAGAGUUCUGGAAGCUGGAUGUCGGAAAUCAAGGGCCAUCUUUCCUCUGAAGACUCCAGGGAAAAAUCCUUCCUUGCCUCUUCCUAGCUGUUGGUGGUUUCUGGUGAUCCUUGGUGUCUUUCCCUUGGCUCGCCAUUGGCUCACUAGGAUCUCUUUCUCUGUUUUCACACUUCUCUCCGUUUCUCUGUGUGUCUUGUCUUCUUAUUAGGACACCAGUCAUUGGAGUUAGGGCCCUCCCUAAACCAGUAUGACUUUAUAAUUUAUUAAUGUCUGCAGAGACCCUGUUUCCCAACAAGGUCACAUUCUAAAGUUGUGAGUGGAUGUGAAUUUGGGGGCAUACACUCUUCAACCCACUACACAAUUAAACUCAUUUUUUUUAGUUGAGGAGAAAGAGUCAGAAAGGUGAAGUUACCCAGGUCACUGUUAGAAAGUUGUAGAGCUGAGGGUACAUGCGUAUUCUUAACCAUUAACUAAUCAAAAUGUCUUCCUUCUUCCCAUCUGCCUGCCCCUCUCUGCCCCUACCUUUGUGCUUUCGUUAUUUGCUCAUUCAAGGACACUUUGGAGUUAGUUUAUCUUAAUUUCAGUGGAUGAAAAUGACUGGGAUGGUUGGCUGUUGAGCGUGGGGGAUGGGAAGAUAUUACUGUGAUAUUUGCUUAUUGAUGAUUUUCUAUGUCCUUCGCACCUUAUAUAUUUAUUAAUUGUAAUUUCUCUGUUAGGAAGAGUUGUUCCUUCUCCCUCAUUAACAUACUUAUAUUAGGAUGGGCUUAUGCAUAUUUAUUUUAUUCUAUGGGUUACAGUUUCAUACUAUCAUUAUUUAUUUUGUUGCUCAAAUUGUCCCUGCUUUGCCCAUUAGGAGCUUAAUUACGUUGGGUCCUGUAUCCUUUCAACGUGCUCCGUCAUUCAUGAGUACCUUUUACUUUUUGGCACUUCCCUUUUCCCCCUUAGCUCAUUUUCUAUUUUCCUUGCCCCAGCCUUGUGAUCAAACUUUCCUUCGGAAAAGUGUUCGUUCCUUUUAUCAGAGUAUCAGUUUUGAAACCAAGAUCUUGGUGGUGGGUGUGCUCGUUGCUUCUUGGUCCUUUUAGUGGACAGAGCUGGGACUUAUUUGUAUAUGUACUAACACACACACAUCUACAUUUAAACAUGUAUCUGUCCCAACGUUAAAGCCGUGGUGAAUAUGAUCCUUCUCAAGUAAAUGCACGAGUGUCUGUAAGGCAGGCUUGUAUCUGCCUCCCAGUGAUAAAGAGAACAACAGGCCCAUUACAGCAUUGCAGAGUCCAUAGUACUAUUUACUUCCAGUUUGAUGUUAUAAUUCAGAUAGCUGAGGCUGUCAGGGAAGAGGCCUAACCUUAUGUAAUUCUGAAACCAGAAAGAAUCACAGAGGUGUUCAAUGCAUGUUUCCUAAACUAUUCCAUGGCAUAGUGUUUGGGGAGGUGUUAAAAGGCUUAUGAUAAAAGGGCUUUGUAGUCCAGUAAAUUUGGGAGACUUGUCAUGGUAGAUUCCCCCCACACUUGUGUAACGCUGCCCAGGGAUUCUUACAGGAGUGGUUUUUUUUUUAAAUGCAUUUUCCAGAAAAAAAUAUAUUUUCAGAACAAAACAUUUGUCAGACAACUUUAUGAAAGGGGAAGAGAUAAGAAGAAGAAAAGGUUAGCGUGUGAAAUAUGUAUGGCUUAGAGCACCUG